UUUUGAGUGUUAUUUAUAUGUAUUUUGACAGCUCCCAGGAACUCUGAACAGAUUGUGCUCAAUUUGGAGAAGUCCAUCAUAACUUCAAAUGGAAGUGUUCAAGGCUUCAGUCAUCCCAGCUUCUGUUCAGGAAGAGACCCAGACUCCAUCCAGGAAUGGGGUCAGACCCUUGUCAAGCUGGGACUGAGCCAUAUAACCACUUGACAGUGUGCUCAGAUAUUAAAUUCUUGGGGAAAGGAAAAGGUUUUGCCUGA
This 254-nucleotide long non-coding RNA is filed under the name Rhinopithecus bieti (black snub-nosed monkey). Its description in RNAcentral is "lncRNA (ENSRBIG00000045811.1)". The record is from RNAcentral. Lineage: Eukaryota; Metazoa; Chordata; Mammalia; Primates; Cercopithecidae.